RNAcentral lists this ribosomal RNA (326 nucleotides) under uncultured eukaryote. RNAcentral describes it as "partial 18S ribosomal RNA". It matches the Rfam family "Eukaryotic small subunit ribosomal RNA", at positions 1470 to 1796 of the family's 1831-position model. The record is from RNAcentral.
CCCUUAGAUGUCCUGGGCCGCACGCGCGCUACACUGAACGGAUCAGCGCGUUUUCCCUUCCCGAGAGGGACGGGUAACCUGCUGAACCCCGUUCGUGGUAGGGAUCGGGGCUUGCAAUUAUUCCCCGUGAGCCAGGAAUGCCCAGUAAGUGCAAGUCAUAAGCUUGCGUUGAUUACGUCCCUGCCCUUUGUACACACCGCCCGUCGCUACUACCGAUUGAACGUUUUAGUGAGGUACUCGGACUGAGCCUCAGAAGAUUCACGUCUUUUGUGCUGCUCGGGAAGAUUCCCAAACUUGAGCGUUUAGAGGAAGUAAAAGUCGUAACA